GAUGAACGCUGGCGGCGUGCCUAAUACAUGCAAGUCGAGCGAACGGACGCGAAGCUGCUUUCUUUGUUGUUAGCGGCACGCGGGUGAGUAACACGUGGGUAACCUCCCGCUCUUACUGGGAUAACUUCGGGAAUGCGGCGCUAAUACGGGAUAAUAUUUUCAAGCGCAUGGUUCAAAAGAGAAAGACGGUCUUGGUGUCACCUAUAGGUGGAUCCGCGUUGGGUUAGCUAGAUGGUAAGGUAACGGCUUAACAAGGCAACGAUGGAUAGCCGAGCUGAGCGGGUGAGAGCGCACACUGGAACUGAGACGCGGUCCAGGCUCCUACGGGAGGCCGCAGUAGGGAAUCGAGGGCAAUGGGCGAAAGACUGACGGAGCAACGCCGGGCGAGUGAUGAAGGUCUGCGGAGCGGAAGACUCUGUUAUUGUGGAAGAACAUAUGUGUAAGUGACUGAGCACAUUGUGACGGUACCUAAACAGAAAGCCACGGCUAACUACGUG
RNAcentral lists this ribosomal RNA (497 nucleotides) under uncultured bacterium. Its description in RNAcentral is "partial 16S ribosomal RNA". It matches the Rfam family "Bacterial small subunit ribosomal RNA", at positions 28 to 507 of the family's 1533-position model. The record is from RNAcentral.